UACAGAGGUCUCAAGCGUUGUUCGGAUUCAUUGGGCGUAAAGGGUGCGUAGGUGGCGAGGUAAGUCAGGUGUGAAAUCUCGGGACUCAACCCCGAAACUGCACUUGAUACUGCCUUGCUCGAGUACUGGAGAGGAGAUUGGAAUUUACGGUGUAGCAGUGAAAUGCGUAGAUAUCGUAAGGAAGACCAGCGGCGAAGGCGAAUCUCUGGACAGUUACUGACACUGAGGCACGAAGGCCAGGGGAGCAAACGGG
This 253-nucleotide ribosomal RNA is filed under the name uncultured bacterium. Its description in RNAcentral is "partial 16S ribosomal RNA". It matches the Rfam family "Bacterial small subunit ribosomal RNA", at positions 524 to 776 of the family's 1533-position model. The record is from RNAcentral.